AGUGAACGCUGGCGGCAGGCCUAACACAUGCAAGUCGAACGGCAGCACGGCAGUAGCAAUACUGUGGGUGGCGAGUGGCGGACGGGUGAGGAAUACAUCGGGAUCUACCCUGUUGUGGGGGAUAACGUAGGGAAACUUACGCUAAUACCGCAUAAGAACUGAGGUUGAAAGCGGCGGACCGCAAGGCGUCGCGCGAUUGGAUGAACCGAUGUCCGAUUAGCUAGUUGGCGGGGUAAAGGCCCACCAAGGCGACGAUCGGUAGCUGGUCUGAGAGGACGACCAGCCACACUGGAACUGAGACACGGUCCAGACUCCUACGGGAGGCAGCAGUGGGGAAUCUUAGACAAUGGGCGCAAGCCUGAUCUAGCCAUGCCGCGUGAGCGAUGAAGGCCUUAGGGUUGUAAAGCUCUUUCAGUGGGGAAGAUAAUGACUGUACCCACAGUAGAAGCCCCGGCUAACUCCGUGCCAGCAGCCGCGGUAA
This 481-nucleotide ribosomal RNA is filed under the name uncultured bacterium. RNAcentral describes it as "bacterial SSU rRNA". It matches the Rfam family "Bacterial small subunit ribosomal RNA", at positions 29 to 523 of the family's 1533-position model. The record is from RNAcentral.